AGGGCAACGAUUGAUAGUUGAAACCUCUUUUUCAAGUCCCGGGGGACUAGUUGCUUGGUUCCGACCAUUUCCGCUAAAGAAAAAGCCAUUCCUGACUAAAGAAAAGUCAAAACAAAAGGUAGGCGGUCAGACCUAGGGCAUGUAGCAUAGAAAAACCUUCGCCCUUAGCGAAGGGCUUUCUGAAAGCUCCAUUUGAAGCAGGUGCCUAAACAGAUGAUUCCAGUUCAACUCAUUUUUGAAAUGCUACCUCAAGAGAAGGGGGGCCUCUGGCCCGGAAGAUGCCUUAUAUGGAUAGGGUAUAUACUACUACGAUUGGCUCUAUUCCCUGAGAGUCCCAAUCUUCUUGAAAAAACGUGAUACGCGGAACCUUGGUUCGUGAAUUUUCCAGUUGGAAUUCCUACAUUUAGUAUUUAGUAGUUUCAUUCGACAGCUAAAAUUCAUGCUUUUGACGUAGCAUCGGGUGUUCACUUGGAAAACCUUUCUAUAGUGCCCCAUUUCCUAUGAUAUCCAAACCCGAAAUAU
Molecule: long non-coding RNA, 522 nt
Filed under: Nicotiana benthamiana
Lineage: Eukaryota; Viridiplantae; Streptophyta; Magnoliopsida; Solanales; Solanaceae
Description: long non-coding RNA (NBEN_LNC039545)
Source: RNAcentral